GAUGAACGCUGGCGGCGUGCCUAAUACAUGCAAGUCGAGCGAACGGACGAGAAGCUUGCUUCUCUGAUGUUAGCGGCGGACGGGUGAGUAACACGUGGAUAACCUACCUAUAAGACUGGGAUAACUUCGGGAAACCUUAGCUAAUACCGGAUAAUAUUUUGAACCGCAUGGUUCAAAAGUGAAAGACGGUCUUGCUGUCACUUAUAGAUGGAUCCGCGCUGCAUUAGCUAGUUGGUAAGGUAACGGCUUACCAAGGCAACGAUGCAUAGCCGACCUGAGAGGGUGAUCGGCCACACUGGAACUGAGACACGGUCCAGACUCCUACGGGAGGCAGCAGUAGGGAAUCUUGCGCAAUGGGCGAAAGCCUGACGGAGCAACGCCGCGUGAGUGAUGAAGGUCUUCGGAUCGUAAAACUCUGUUAUUAGGGAAGAACAUAUGUGUAAGUAACUGUGCACAUCUUGACGGUACCUAAUCAGAAAGCCACGGCUAACUACGUG
This 497-nucleotide ribosomal RNA is filed under the name uncultured bacterium. Its description in RNAcentral is "partial 16S ribosomal RNA". It matches the Rfam family "Bacterial small subunit ribosomal RNA", at positions 28 to 507 of the family's 1533-position model. The record is from RNAcentral.